This is a long non-coding RNA of Dromaius novaehollandiae (emu), 1072 nucleotides long. RefSeq lists it as uncharacterized. The transcript has 2 exons. The record is from RefSeq and is a predicted model, not a curated record. Lineage: Eukaryota; Metazoa; Chordata; Aves; Casuariiformes; Dromaiidae.
GGGGGCCGCGCGUAGCGGGGGGGGGUGAGCCCGGCCGUUCUGGUGGCGGGGGGCGCCCGAGACCCGGCUGGUGCCGGGCACGCAAUCUCGGGUGAGGGGUGCGAGGGAGGGCCGCCCCCGCCCUCCCAUGACCCGAGGGUGAGGGGAGGCUUCCCGCUCCCUCCGUCGGGGUGUGACGGGGGCGGAGGUGAGGUCAGGCGUGACGGGCGCUGUGGCCGGUUGUGUCAGCGGGCGAUACGGGAAUGGGAGUUACGGCGUGUACCGCCGGGGCCUUGUCUGGGAAGGUACCGGGAAGUUGCCAGGCGGAGGGCAAGCAGCCACCCGAGCGAGGGCGGUACAGCAGGGCUGGCGGCGAGGAGGGAUGUGCGGCCUGGCCAUGCGUCCCUGGUAGGAUGAGCCAAGAGUUCCCCCUGCUAGGGCUGAGCCCCAUGAGAAUGAGAUGUUUCAGAGAAAAAGUACCCAAACAGUGAUGCGGAUAUCACUAAUGGUGUGCCAGCCACCUACCCCCAUGCCCGGAGAUGAUGAUUGCAGUAGCUGUUGGUUAUGCCGUUUGUAAGCUUAUAUCAGGGAAUUUGGGAGAGUGUGAUGAGGAGAAAAGAAAAGGGCAUGUGUGCUUGGGGAUUAUGCUUGUGUUCCCCUGUUGACUUCUGUAUGUGCUUGGUUUAUGCCAAUUUGUAUGAGAGAGGUACCAAGUCUUUUGUUUAACAGUGACUAUUUACUAUUAAACUAUUGACAGUUAAUAAAGGAGAAGAUAAACAUGGCAUUUACUAACAAUAAGUUACGUGAAACUGCCUUCAUUAGUUUUCUAAUGAAGGGGUUCCCAUGGACAGGAAGAAGUCAGUGAACCAGUUGGAAAUAUUGAGAGAAGGUUUGGUGCAGGUUGGUGCAACAAGUGCUAAUGGUGGUGUUUAAGCUUACGAUGACUGACAAGAAGUCCCUCAGUGACUGACAACCGGGUUGACAUUGCUGGAAUUUAUCAGACGUCUGUCACUCUCCACCUCACUGCAUACGAUUCUUUGUUGUGGAGCUGUAAGGAAAAUAAAAGUGGAGUCCAUAGACUUUUUUUUCAAGA